This 482-nucleotide ribosomal RNA is filed under the name uncultured bacterium. Its description in RNAcentral is "bacterial SSU rRNA". It matches the Rfam family "Bacterial small subunit ribosomal RNA", at positions 47 to 518 of the family's 1533-position model. The record is from RNAcentral.
CUUAACACAUGCAAGUCGAGGGGCAGCAUAAAAGUAGCAAGUACUUGGUCGGCGACCGGCGCACGGGUGAGUAACGCGUAUGCAACCUACCGUAUCGAAGAGGGGAAUAACCCGGCGAAAGUCGGACUAAUACCGCAUAAAACAGGGGCACCGCAUGGUGAUAUUGUUAAAGAAAUUCGCUGAUAGAUGGGCAUGCGUUCCAUUAGGUAGUUGGUGAGGUAACGGCUCACCAAGCCGACGAUGGAUAGGGGAACUGAGAGGUUGGUCCCCCACACUGGUACUGAGACACGGACCAGACUCCUACGGGAGGCAGCAGUGAGGAAUAUUGGUCAAUGGGCGGGAGCCUGAACCAGCCAAGUCGCGUGAAGGAAGAAGGAUCUAUGGUUCGUAAACUUCUUUUGCAGGGGAAUAAAGUGCAGGACGUGUCCUGUUUUGUAUGUACCCUGAGAAUAAGGAUCGGCUAACUCCGUGCCAGCCGCGGC